Molecule: long non-coding RNA, 1156 nt
Filed under: Lactuca sativa (garden lettuce)
Lineage: Eukaryota; Viridiplantae; Streptophyta; Magnoliopsida; Asterales; Asteraceae
Description: long non-coding RNA (LSAT_LNC005222)
Source: RNAcentral
GUUAGCCGAACGGGUAGGAUAGGGAAAACCCUCUCCUCAUAAAAAAGUAUAAUGAAUGUUAAAGUAACUAAAUGUUUUACUAAAUUCCCAAUCUUAGUUACUUUAGGCAAAAGUGAAUUGAUGCAAUUCCAUGAAAUUACACUUUGUACCCUUGCUAAGACGUUAGUGGAGCGUGUGUGGUUAACCGGCACACUAAAUGGGUUCUAAGCAAAGGUAGCAAAGGGUGACUCAAUGUUUGUCAUUGUUCAGUGGAGCGUGUGUGGUUAACUGACACAUUGAAUAGAUGACUGUAACAUUGGGGGAACCAUGUAAGUUUGCAUGGUUAUUCACACUCUGUUUUGUGAUCCUCGGCAUCACUGUCACAAAUCGAGGGGCAUAUCGAGAUUUAAACAUGGCAUUGAAAAGUUCAAUGAAUCUCAAAGGAUCUAGGAGUUGUCAAUACAUUUAAAACUUAAUUUCUUUUUCUUUUUUCAUGGUGGAAAAUUAGUGAAUCGUCAUUCACUUACCUUCAAAUGUUCUGCAAUUUGGGUUACGACAUCCCUCUCCCGAGUUGUGGAAUAUUGUGUUGGGUCCUAGCCCNUUCACUUACCUUCAAAUGUUCUGCAAUUUGCGUUACGACAUCCCUCUCCCAAGUUGUAGAGUAUUGUGUUGGGUCCUAGCCUUAAUAUCUCAUUUGGGUGUUUUAUUAAGGACUCAAUCAAUCAACUAACUUGAAUUUUCUCCCGUUUUGUAGAUUUCAAAGUAUGACAGCUAUGGUCUUCCCAAAUCCCAUGGAACAAGCCUUCCACAUGAAGAUGAUAAUCCACGAUUCGUUUGAGGAACACGAGAUCAUGCUUCACUUCCUCCACCUCCUCUUACUGUUCUCCCUAACCCACAAGUUCAAAGGCUUGAAAAGUUCAAGCUCACUCAAGCCCUUUUGGUAAGUAAACAUGAAGAAGUAAAGUCAAUGUGUACACACGUCUUAGAGAUGAAGUCACACAUUGAUAGGUUAAGAAUGUUGGGAUUCGUUGUCUAUGAGGGGCUGGCUGUUGACUGGGUUCUUUAGUCGCUUCCUGACUCAUAUAGUGAGUUCGUAAACCAUAUGAUAGACCACGACAUGACCCUCAUCGAUCUCACCUAUUUGCUUAUUGCUGCUGAAUCAACAAUGAUUUGGUGC